This 218-nucleotide ribosomal RNA is filed under the name uncultured bacterium. RNAcentral's name for it is "partial 16S ribosomal RNA". It matches the Rfam family "Bacterial small subunit ribosomal RNA", at positions 1285 to 1500 of the family's 1533-position model. The record is from RNAcentral.
GUCUCAGUUCGGAUUGAAGGCUGAAAUUCGCCUCCCAUGAAAGCCGGAAUUGCUAGUAAUGGCAGGUCAGCAUACUGCCGUGAAUACGUUCCCGGGCCUUGUACACACCGCCCGUCACACCAUGAGAGUCGGGAACACCCGAAGUCCGCAGCCUAACCGCAAGGGGGGCGCGGCCGAAGGUGGGUUCGAUAAUUGGGGUGAAGUCGUAACAAGGUACC